AGUGAACGCUGGCGGCAGGCCUAACACAUGCAAGUCGAACGGCAGCACAGUAACAGCUUGCUGUUACCGGUGGCGAGUGGCGGACGGGAGAGGAAUACAUCCGACUCUACCUUUCCGGGGGGGACAACGAAGGGAAACUUACGCUAAUACCGCAUACGACCUACGGGUGAAACCAGGGGACCUUCGCACCUCGCGCGAUCCAAUGAGCCGAUGUCGGAUUUGCUAGUUGCCGGGGUAAAGGCCCACCAAGCCGACGACCCGUAGCCGCUCGAAGAGGAUGCUAUCCCGCCCGGGAACUGGAGCACGGUCCAGACUCCUGCGGGGGGCAGCAGUCGGGAAUGUUGGACAAUGCUGGCAAACCUGGACCAACCAUAGCCCGUGGGUGUGGAGGGCGUUCGGGUUGUAAAGCCCUUUUGUUGGGACACAAACGCGGCAGCUUGAUACCCCGCUGUUCUGACGGUACCCAACGAAUAAGCACCGGCUAACUUCGUG
This 492-nucleotide ribosomal RNA is filed under the name uncultured bacterium. Its description in RNAcentral is "partial 16S ribosomal RNA". It matches the Rfam family "Bacterial small subunit ribosomal RNA", at positions 29 to 507 of the family's 1533-position model. The record is from RNAcentral.